GUGCUUGCUUUGGCAGCACAUUUACUAAAAUUGGGAUGAUACAGAAAUGAUUAGUGUGGUCCCACCACAAGGAUGAUAUGCAAAUUUGUGAAGUAUCCCAUAUUUUA
Molecule: non-coding RNA, 107 nt
Organism: Canis lupus familiaris (dog)
Lineage: Eukaryota; Metazoa; Chordata; Mammalia; Carnivora; Canidae
Source: Rfam